This 253-nucleotide ribosomal RNA is filed under the name uncultured bacterium. RNAcentral's name for it is "partial 16S ribosomal RNA". It matches the Rfam family "Bacterial small subunit ribosomal RNA", at positions 524 to 776 of the family's 1533-position model. The record is from RNAcentral.
UACGUAGGGGGCAAGCGUUGUCCGGAUUCAUUGGGCGUAAAGAGCGUGUAGGCGGCCAGAUAGGUCGGUUGUGAAAACUGGAGGCUUAACCUCGGAACUGCGUCUGAAACUACUCGACUAGAGUACUGGAGGGGGAAACGGAAUUCACGGUGUAGCAGUGAAAUGCGUAGAUAUCGUGAGGAACACCAGAGGCGAAGGCGGUUUCCUGGACAGUUACUGAUGCUCAGGCACGAAAGCAUGGGGAGCAAAAGGG